GGCGGCGUGCCUAUAAUGCUCACCGAGCGAAGGAUUAGAAGCUUGCUUUCACCACGUUAGCGGCGGACGGGUGAGUAACACGUGGGCAACCUGCCUGUAAGACUGGUGAUCCCUUCGGGAAACCGAAGCUAAUACCGGAUAGGAUCUUCUCCUUCAUGGGAGAUGAUUGAAAGAUGGUUUCGGCUAUCACUUACAGAUGGGCCCGCGGUGCAUUAGCUAGUUGGUGAGGUAACGGCUCACCAAGGCAACGAUGCAUAGCCGACCUGAGAGGGUGAUCGGCCACACUGGGACUGAGACACGGCCCAGACUCCUACGGGAGGCAGCAGUAGGGAAUCUUCCGCAAUGGACGAAAGUCUGACGGAGCAACGCCGCGUGAGUGAUGAACGCUUUCGGGUCGUAAAACUCUGUUGUUAGGGAAGAACAAGUACAAGAGUAACUGCUUGUACCUUGAGGGUACCUAACCAGAAAGCCACGGCUAACUACGUGCCAGCAGCCGCGGAAAUACGUAGGUGGCAAGCGUUAUCCGGAAUUAUUGGGCGUAAAGGGCGCGCAGGCGGGUUUCUUAAAUCUGAUGUGAAAAGCCCACGGCUCAACCGUGGGAGGGUCAUUGUAAAAUGGGGGAACUUGAGUGCAAAAGA
Molecule: ribosomal RNA, 638 nt
Filed under: Bacillus sp. Bac55C
Lineage: Bacteria; Bacillati; Bacillota; Bacilli; Caryophanales; Bacillaceae
Description: bacterial SSU rRNA
Rfam family: Bacterial small subunit ribosomal RNA
Source: RNAcentral